This 497-nucleotide ribosomal RNA is filed under the name uncultured bacterium. RNAcentral's name for it is "partial 16S ribosomal RNA". It matches the Rfam family "Bacterial small subunit ribosomal RNA", at positions 28 to 507 of the family's 1533-position model. The record is from RNAcentral.
GAUGAACGCUGGCGGCGUGCCUAAUACAUGCAAGUCGAGCGAACGGACGAGAAGCUUGCUUCUCUGAUGUUAGCGGCGGACGGGUGAGUAACACGUGGAUAACCUACCUAUAAGACUGGGAUAACUUCGGGAAACCGGAGCUAAUACCGGAUAAUAUUUUGAACCGCAUGGUUCAAAAGUGAAAGACGGUCUUGCUGUCACUUAUAGAUGGAUCCGCGCUGCAUUAGCUAGUUGGUAAGGUAACGGUUUACCAAGGCAACGAUGCAUAGCCGACCUGAGAGGGUGAUCGGCCACACUGAAACUGAGACACGGUCCAGACUCCUACGGGAGGCAGCAGUAGGGAAUCUUCCGCAAUGGGCGAAAGCCUGACGGAGCAACGCCGCGUGAGUGAUGAAGGUCUUCGGAUCGUAAAACUCUGUUAUUAGGGAAGAACAUAUGUGUAAGUAACUGUGCACAUCUUGACGGUACCUAAUCAGAAAGCCACGGCUAACUACGUG